CCCGAGCGCUGUGCACGCGCAGGAGCGGGCUUUGGGGGCGGGGACAACACAGCCAAUGGGCAACACGGCGCCUUUCGGGGACAAAGGAUUCUGACGUGGUUCCCUCUGAGACUGAAGUUGAUCCCUGCCGAUGUCUCCAGUGUCACUCUGCAAACUGAAGCAUCAACUGCUGAGGCAAGCAACAGUGGUUUGUGUCAUGGAAUUGUCUUCUUCUCCUGGCCCUGGACCCUAUGGAUAUCAAGACCAGCGACAUAAUUUGUGUGGCCCAGUGCAAAACGAAAACGUGGGGCUAUUUGUUCGAAAACCAGGAAUAAAGUGCCAUUAAAGAGCGCAGGGGGUUGCAGGCCGGAUAACAGAAACCCAGCCCUGCCCACUGGGUGAAGCUGCAGCUCUCCCACACAGCGAUCUGCAAAUCGAGAGCGUGAGAAACCUGCAAGUGGAGAGAGGAGCCAGAAGUAAUGCCUUCGAAAAUGGAACGGAUGCCUUCUCCUGAAAGGUGACUAAAUUCAUGUUUUGGAUGGUGGUAUUAACCUGUAAGAUUAGAGGGGAGAAAGGGCAUGUCCCCUGAGAAGAGCCAGUUCGCUCCCCUUACCUGUAGAUCAGAUGACCCCGUGCUAGCCUCCUGCCGCCUGAAGGGCUCCACCACGUUUCCUUCUGCUGCUACCCAAUAAAGAAGUCUUACAAGGGUGUUCCAAGACAAUUUUUAGAAAAAAGGUAAAAUCCUGAUCCUUAUACAGACAUAAAAAUGAACAUGUGUUAAAGAUUUUAUUUUACUCGUAAUAACUGAGGGAACUAGGCACGUGUUAUAACUGAUUUAAAAAAGAAGCAGCCCAGAUUUAUAGGGAGUAAAGAAUGUUGAAAUGAAUUACAAAUGGAGGCAAACAUUCCCCGC
Delphinapterus leucas (beluga whale) is the source of this 892-nucleotide long non-coding RNA. RefSeq lists it as uncharacterized. Lineage: Eukaryota; Metazoa; Chordata; Mammalia; Artiodactyla; Monodontidae. The record is from RefSeq and is a predicted model, not a curated record.